Molecule: long non-coding RNA, 692 nt
Organism: Anser cygnoides (Swan goose)
Lineage: Eukaryota; Metazoa; Chordata; Aves; Anseriformes; Anatidae
Source: Ensembl
GUGAACUUCAAGAGUAUGGCAACAAUUCAAGGAAAAGAAACUGAUGAAGAUAAAGGUUCACAAAGAAGUUGAGGUAUUUGUUACUUCCUCACUCUGUGAAAAGGAACCAAACCUCCAUUGGAAAUGCCAUGCUUCAGCCAGUGCAGACUGCAAUGCAGAGGCUCAGAAUGUCCUACAAACGAGACUUAGAGAGAUACAAAACAAAGAAGUGAAGAUGUGUAAGACAAUGCCUACAUUCAUCCUGCUGUUUACAGGAUAUUUUGUUAAAAAUAUGCAUGUUCAUGCAACAGAAUCAUCACUGUUAAAGAUAUCUACUUCCUAUGUCACAGAAGCUUCUGAACAAGAAACAGCAGCAGCUGAAUCAAAAACAGUAACAACCAACCCAGAAACUGGGUUCAGUCCCGUUCCAGAAGAAAGUUCGUUAUAUGUAGCAGCAACCAGCAUUUCCCUUGUGAUCAUCUUGAUUUGUAUAAUUGUUUUUCUUUGGUUUAAAUGGAAAUUGUCUAAGGGAAGUUCAGCUGAAAUUAAUCCUGUCCCCUCCAGUGAAGCUGUGGUGACCUUAAAAAAUACCAAGUUAUGAGAACCAAUGAGGAAAGAAGAAAUGAAAGUCCUCUCAGAUGAUGGCUAUUUAAAGGGCUCUUCCACAAGAGCAGUAUAUUCAAAAAAUAAAUUCUCGAAACUAGAGAGAUCCA